Molecule: long non-coding RNA, 1011 nt
Filed under: Equus asinus (donkey)
Lineage: Eukaryota; Metazoa; Chordata; Mammalia; Perissodactyla; Equidae
Description: lncRNA (ENSEASG00005038692.1)
Source: RNAcentral
GCAUAUAUUUUUUGAAUUAUUCACAUAAAUGAUACAAAUAUACAUUUAUAUGUUUUCCUGUUAUUUUGAGGUUUUCCAGGUCCACAACCAUAUCACUUGGCAAACAGUUUGUUACAUUUGUUUUCUUGGUUUAUUCCUCUGACCAGAAAUUCCAGGACAAUAUUAACUAAUGACAGUAGAAAUUCUUGUCCUGUUCCUCAUGAUCUCCCUGGUAUUUUGUCAGACGAGACCCGUAAGCCAGAAAGAGGUUCAGAACCACAGUUCUAGAAGCGCCAGUGGUGCCUGGAGGUCCCCAGAGCACAGACCAGUUUUAGUGAGUGACUGAAGUAACCACUGAAGAUGGUGACCAGGAGUAGGCUGGAGGACACCCAGAGCCCACGUCUAAACCCAGACGUUCUGCUUGAGAAGCAGAGGGACUGUUUGGAAGUCGGCUCCCUCCAGAAUUCAUUCAAUCCUGUGCCCUUCAUGCAUGUCACCCAAUGAAUAAGGGAAUAAAAAUACAAGGCAUUCAAAUAAAAGGCAAAUAUUACCGUCUCCACAGUGCCAGACUUUGAGGAAUGCUUAGAAAGAAGCAGCGCUAAACCCUCAACUCUGAUUCCAAUGCAUCCAUGCAGGCCCGGCUCCCUCCGCACAGAAGGCGCGGUCACUGAGCCGGAGCCGCCAGCCAGGCAGCAGAGGCACUUCGGCCCGCCCUCCAGACACCCUGCUGCCCUGGGCUGGCUCUCACAGGUCUCCCCACGGGGCAAGGUUGGCCCCAGGGCCCUGGUCCCGUGUGUGGGAAGUGAACCGAGUUCCCGGUCCUGACCACCCUGUGCGCCCUAGAGGCCGAGUCAGGGGAGCCUGCUCUACCACGGUGGUGGUGUUCUCCGAGAGCUCUGCUCCUAGUUUUUGUUGUUAAAAUGCUGACUUUCUGGACAACAGGAGCCCAGGUGCACACCUCCCCCUCCUCCUGCCCAGUGUCCCUGCGGCCUGGAUCCUAAGAAGUCAGGGGUCAGCUCAGCAAACCCACCC